Long non-coding RNA from Meriones unguiculatus (Mongolian gerbil), 367 nucleotides. RefSeq lists it as uncharacterized. The record is from RefSeq and is a predicted model, not a curated record. Lineage: Eukaryota; Metazoa; Chordata; Mammalia; Rodentia; Muridae. The transcript has 2 exons.
CCUCAGCGUAACUGGACAAUCAUUUGGCUGUGUGUUACACAAGAAAGCUGGGAGGUAGAGAGGAGGCGAGAAGAGCAGAGGAAAGGUGAGAGAGCCCUACUUUCUGCUGCCCCGAAUCCACGGAAGCCUCUACAAACCCCUCUUUCACCUUGAGCUUACUAGAUCACCAAGCCAGGCCUCUCUGGUCUCAACCAUCAAUAAAGCAAUGCAGCACCGAGGAGCACCAGUUCCUGCCCCUUAUGUCAUCAUCAGGAAGCCAUAAAGGAACCUAGACUGGAAGAUGGAGAAGAACAAUGUAACCCAGAAGGCUGCCCCAGAGCCCAGCUAGCUCUGGAGAACAACUCUGCUCUUGGUUUUAAUGCCUGAA